GUGAAUCAUCAAAUCUUUGAACGCAAAUUGCACUCUCUGGCAUUCCGGGGAGUAUGCCUGUUUGAGGGUCAGUAUAAAUAAAAAUCGAGGUGUCGCUGUUUUGUGACCCAUCGGACUCGGGUGAUCUUUGACCUCUUAAAAAGUUUAAGUGACCUAAAAUUGAUACCUUGUUCAUCUCAGACGUACAUAAGAAUCUUUUUUUAUCCCUCCUGUGUUUCCAACCGUGUAUUAGGUAUGACUAUGCUGUUUGUG
This 252-nucleotide unclassified non-coding RNA is filed under the name Glomeraceae sp. RNAcentral's name for it is "partial contains 5.8S ribosomal RNA and internal transcribed spacer 2". The stretch from base 1 to 71 matches the Rfam family "5.8S ribosomal RNA", at positions 84 to 154 of the family's 154-position model. The record is from RNAcentral. Lineage: Eukaryota; Fungi; Glomeromycota; Glomeromycetes; Glomerales; Glomeraceae.